Lycium barbarum (goji berry) is the source of this 655-nucleotide long non-coding RNA. RefSeq lists it as uncharacterized. The transcript has 3 exons. The record is from RefSeq and is a predicted model, not a curated record. Lineage: Eukaryota; Viridiplantae; Streptophyta; Magnoliopsida; Solanales; Solanaceae.
CAAUUCUUAUUCCCAAAACCUAAUUAUAUUAAUAAAACUCCCACCCCCCAGUCGCCGACACUCCACCCCACCACACCCCUACCCCUCCCGCCGCUGACGCCCCAUCCCCACCACUGCCUGUCCUCCGUCGCCGCCGUUGCUGUCCACCGCCACUAAAGGCUGUGGGAGCAUCAAGAGCUACUGGAGGAGAAUACCCUAAGAGAAUCGGUCAAUCCGUGAUGAUAACUGGAAGAAACUGCUGCACUUCUGGGCAACUGAUCCGACGUUUUUAAAGCAAAGCGAAAAUGGGAAGAAGGACAGGGCCUCAGCUAAGGGUGGAUUUCGACACACUAGUGGGGCCACCAGCCAUGAGGACGUUAGGAUGAAGCUGACGCUCGAGAGGGGUCAGGAAGUACCUCAAGAUGAAGUCUUCAAGAUUACUCACACGAGGAAGGCGAAGAACGUAGUUCAUGCUCUUGUUGAUGAGGAUAGUGGGGAGGAAUCGGAUCAUGUCUCUAUGGUUGUAGAAAGUAGUUUAUGGUUGUUUAACUUUACGAUGUUCAAGUGUUUGAAUGUAGUUUUAAGGAUAUUUAGAAGAACUUGAGGUUGAAUUUGAUUUUAGAAUGUGAAGUUUAUGAUUGCAGAAGUACUUUGAUGAAUUGGACGUGUUGAUGAA